AUGGCCUGGACUCCUCUCCUCCUCGUGCUCCUCUCUCACUGUACAGGAUCCUGGGCCCAGUCUUUGACUCAGCCCGUCUCAGUGUCUGGGACCCUGGGGCAGAUAGUCACCAUCUCCUGCUCUGGAAGCAGCUCCAACAUCGGGCAUAGUAGUAGUUAUGUGGGCUGGUUCCAACAGAUCCCAGGAACAGCCCCCAAAACCCUCAUCUAUGAUACUAACAAACGACAAUCAGGGGUCCCAGAUCGAUUCUCUGGCUCCAAGUCUGGCAACACAGCCACUCUGACCAUCACUGCGCUCCAGGCUGAGGACGAGGCUGAUUAUUACUGUGGUAUCUAUGACAGCAGCCUGAGUAGUGACACAGUGCUCCAGGCCAGCGGGGAACCUGUGCUGACCCAGCCACCCUUCUUCUCUGCAUCUCCUGGAGCAUCAGCCAGACUCACCUGCACCCUGAGCAGUGACAUCAGUGUUGACAGCUCUCUCAUAUUCUGGUACCAGCAGAAGCCAGGGAGCCCUCCCCUGUAUCUCCUGAGUUUCUACUCAGACUCAGUUAAGCACCAGGGCUCCAGGGUCCCCAGCCACUUCUCUGGAUCCAAAGACACCUCGGCCAAUGCAGGGCUUCUGCUCAUCUCUGGGCUCAAGGCCGAGGACGAGGCUGACUAUUACUGUGCUACAGCUGAUAGCAGUGGGAGCAGCUCUGGUUACUGA
Molecule: non-coding RNA, 705 nt
Organism: Equus quagga
Lineage: Eukaryota; Metazoa; Chordata; Mammalia; Perissodactyla; Equidae
Source: the annotation of a RefSeq genome assembly